Lupinus albus (white lupine) is the source of this 257-nucleotide non-coding RNA. The record is from the annotation of a GenBank genome assembly. NCBI's taxonomy places the organism in Eukaryota, Viridiplantae, Streptophyta, Magnoliopsida, Fabales, Fabaceae.
CAUGGUUGACAGUUUGAAGUUCUUGCAGUGAACACUACAGGCCCAUCCUGGCUCACAACCAGGGACCCAUGAUGUUAAAUUGCAGUUCUUGUUAGGCUCUAGAUAACUGGCACUUGUAGAUCUCUCUAAUAAACUAUCUAAAUAAAACUUCACUUCUGCCGCGGUGCACAACCGUUUCGUAAUAUCUCCUUCUUGGUAAUGCAAGAAGUCAAGAAGCCCAAAUCAGAUGAAAAAUUAAAUGCCUGAUUCCAAUCAGC